Molecule: long non-coding RNA, 2042 nt
Organism: Tachysurus fulvidraco (yellow catfish)
Lineage: Eukaryota; Metazoa; Chordata; Actinopteri; Siluriformes; Bagridae
Exons: 6
Source: RefSeq, a predicted model, not a curated record
GUCGAGUCAAGUUAUUUAUCAUAAGAUAUCUCUCCAGUGAAGGCACUCAAGCGAUACUCCGAAUCUUUCGCUCGUCUCCUUUCUGCAAGUUCCAUCUGCAGAUGUUUUACCUUUUCACAGGGAGAAAGAAGUGAGCCUCUGGGUCGUCUGCGCCUCUGCUGCAUCAUCUGAACAUGAGUCCUGAUGCGCUGCUCAAGCUCCCGGUCCCUUGCCUCCCUUAGGGCACACACAACAGGCAAAAAUACAAAUGAACACACACCUCACUGACUGCUUAACUUGUAGCGGGGUAAUUAAUCGCACUCAGUAUUUUCCUUUCCUGCAUGAUCUUGGCCUGGUUUCUCCACUGCUGCAACAGCUCCUCGUUUCUAAGACAGACACACACACCCUAGAGGUAAGACAGAUUCAGGCUAGACUGGAGAAUCUCGGUCAGUGGCAGCUUCUCCACAGCCGGCAUGUCUAAAGAUGGGGACCAGAAGGAGUGAGUUUUUACAUCCAAAUGCAUGCGGCCACAAAGGUCGCGCUGUGCCAUGAGGCAGUUGAGCCACACGCGUCGUCUCCAAGGGAACAGAAGUCACACUGCUGAAGCAGAACCAGGGCAGGAAGCUAUUUUUGAAGCAGGCCAUCCUUUUAUGCAAAGCCACAGAUGACCCGUGUGUGUGCUGUGCAAGCUGAGGGGCCGCUGAGCCACGGCUGUGCGACGCAGGAACUGCAGGAUGUGUGCGAGACCCUGCUGCAGCACUUCCUGCGGCGGGAAUGAGAUGGGACAGUUCCUCAGGCUCAGAGCUCGUAGUGUGAUCGUAUUACCUGCCAGGAAAAGACAGCAAGGAAGGAGUUGAAGAAGCAAUUGAAUUUCAAACCAUCUCAGGACCCGUCUAGAUGUUAAUUGACAACUUAUUUAGGAAAAAGCUUUUAUACAAUGAGUGCUGCUCUUGUGAAGGAUGACCAUUUUGCAUACAAUGUUUCCUGUCAGUGAAGGUUUUAAGGGAGAUGGACAUGAUAAUGCGUGGAAUUAAACCCGGGCACCAACUUUCACACAAUGAGUAAGCUGUUCAUUUUUUCUGGCCAAGUAUAAGUGUCAUGAAUUCUGAAUUUUCUGUAACCUUCUGUUGUGACUGUGAGUUAUAUUUCAAUCACAAGGCUGCACAUUCGCCUUACAAAUAAAAAAAAAAAAGCCAGGGCAGCCAUUUAUAAUCUAAUAAUAAUUCAAUGGAACUGUAAUCAUUUUGAACACUGCUGGGAAAAAAAUGAUAAAAUAAUAAUAAUUUAAAAAAACAUACCUAACUCUACAGGAAGUUCUGUAAUCUGGUUCCCUUCCAACAGCAAAGUUUUCAAGCAUCUGAAGAUGUCAAAGAACAAUAUGAGGCCUGAUUUAUAUGAAUUGUUAAAGUUUAUCCAAGCAGGACCAAAUUAUUUAUGUUAAAUGGUGUGUACAAAAUAUUUUGCUGUACCUGUGCUGACCAAUAUCAGCAGGAAGACAAGUGAGCUGGUUAUUUCUCAGGUCUAGCCAAAGCAAAUGUGGCAGAUUGAUGAACAGAUUGUCUGGGAGGCCGGUUAACUCAUUUCCUUCAAGAUAUAAAUUCUUGAAAGGAUGUGAAAAAGAAAGAAAUCCAUGGUAAGUUCACUUAGCUCUCUAGCAGGGGAGGGGCCUGUCUUAAUAGACCAAUAACACAUUUAUAUCUUCUUUUAAAUGUGUUCAUUAUCAGUAUUUACAUGCUGCAUACACAAACUGUUAUUAUUUUUGAAAAUAUAUGACCUAUAAGACAUCAAGAUAUAUCUGAACAUGUAUCACCUAUAAGCCAAUUCAAUUCUUUACCAAACAUGUAUAUACUGUAUAUAGAUUAAAACUACAGCAAGGUCCAAAAGUCCACACAUUAUUACAUGGUCAAUAUUUUGAAUAUUAUUCAAGAUGCUGCUGUGUAAUAUUAUUUAUUUAUUUGUACAAAAUGUUGGAUUUCCUCCACGUGUCUAUUCUCUUUCUCUAAAGCACGAGUUCAGUUGACACCCUGAUGGAUUUGAGCUAAUAAAGUGUGUGUUCAUAUCAA